Molecule: transfer RNA, 72 nt
Filed under: Loxodonta africana (African savanna elephant)
Lineage: Eukaryota; Metazoa; Chordata; Mammalia; Proboscidea; Elephantidae
Rfam family: tRNA
About the family: Transfer RNA (tRNA) molecules are approximately 80 nucleotides in length. Their secondary structure includes four short double-helical elements and three loops (D, anti-codon, and T loops). Further hydrogen bonds mediate the characteristic L-shaped molecular structure. tRNAs have two regions of fundamental functional importance: the anti-codon, which is responsible for specific mRNA codon recognition, and the 3' end, to which the tRNAs corresponding amino acid is attached (by aminoacyl-tRNA synthetases). tRNAs cope with the degeneracy of the genetic code in two manners: having more than one tRNA (with a specific anti-codon) for a particular amino acid; and 'wobble' base-pairing, i.e. permitting non-standard base-pairing at the 3rd anti-codon position.
Source: Rfam by way of RNAcentral
GCCCUGGUGGCACAAUGGUUCAGCGUUCAGCUGUUAACUGAAAGGUUGGUGGUUCGAAGCCACCCAGUGACU